GUGUCUCCUCCUACUAGACUCUGAAUCCUGCAAGGAACUCGGGGAUUCUGCCUGUUCUGCUCUCCUGUGCUCAGAACAGUGCGUGGCCCCAGAGGGUGGAAUAUUGGAUGAACUGAAAUCAGUUUAAUGAGCUACCUUAAACAAAAGGAAAUGCAUUCAAAAUCGAUUGGAAAGGACCCUUCCUGGAAGUGAUCAACUUCCCCUUCUUCUGAGCAAUUUAUACCACCUCCCAACAGGAUCUCCGGUGUCCAGGGACUAGGGCUAAAGGCCUGAGUGGCUUGGUCUGCCUUCCCUAAAACACCUCAAUGAUCCAAUGCCAAGUUUUUGAUCUUUAGUAGAUUUAUCCUUGGUUCCUGUAUUAGUCUGCUUUCUGUCAUUGUAAUAAAAUCCCGGAAACUGGCACACUUAUAAAGAAAAGAGGUUUAUUUAGCUCAUGGUGUUGGAGGCUGAAAGUCCAAAUGGCAUAUUGCUGCCUCUGGCAAGGCCCCCUUCACUACCUCACCUUAUGGUGGAUGGCAUUACAAUGACGGCGACAUAUAGGGGAAGGAUCCGUCGUUUGCCAGGACAGGAAGCCGGUGAGAGGGCAGGGGCUCUUUUCUAAGAGCUCAUUCUCACAAGAACUGUCUGACGCCUUCUGAGAGCAGAGCCUCUCCGACCUCCCUCAGGGCUCCACCCCUUAAAGGGUCCACCACCUGCACGCGUGAAUCACGCCUCGGAGACGUGAGCUUCCGGGGGACAAACUACAUCAAACCACAGUGGCUCCCAAGGCACGAGUGACCACCCAGGACUGGGAGAGUGCCUGGACUCCCUGAUGGGCAGCAUCGCCACAAGAGCAUCUGGUUAUGCAUCACGUCCACUGUGCAGUCCAGGCCUGAGGCGAGGGCCUCCCACACAGGAGGUGAGUGGACAAGUGAGUGGGUACCAAAGACAGGAGAAGGCCAGGGCAGGUGUGGUCCUCCACGCUCACCCUGGAGGGAGCAGGCACGUCUGCCCAGGGCAGCCUGCGUCCCCUGGGGGUGGAGCAGAUUGGGAGUCGACGUCCUAACUCACCAACUCCGCUGGACGCCUCUAACCCGCGGCGACCCCUUUCCCUGUUUUCCACCCCAGAAAGUCACUACUCACAAAGCGUCAUUUUUGUGAGCACUAGACUUGGCUAAAUUUUCUGAAUGGAGAAACUCACGUCAGCAAGUCACCCCCUUCAAAACUCCAAAAAAACCUUGGCCCAUCAUCGCCCAUUUAUAUGGGUAGAGAGUGACGGUUGGUGGCUGUGCGAAAAGCAAAAUGACCGAAUGUGAAUCACAAGCUCGGCGGUCACCGCAAACAGCCGUCCUGUCUCCGAGACUAGAACGUCAAAACCUCUCUCCCGGCUCUUCUGAGAUGAUGUGUUCCUGAUAAUGAGUCUCUUCCCCGAAAAGAAGCGAGUGUCAGGGACACUGCAGAGGUAGACAGCAAGAGGCCCCAGGUCUCCUGGCACCCUGGCCGCCACUCCGGCCCCUGGCUGCUCACACCUACCUCUUGGGCUUCCUGUUGCAAGAUAUAUAUGACCCGUCCUCCUCACUCCCCGCCGUCCUCGGUGGCCCACUCGCCCCACUCUGAGCCCCCUGCUCCCUCUGAGCCCCGCCCCGUGCUCCCCCAGGGGCUGAGCAGAUGCUGCCUCUUAAGUGCAAAAGAGUUCCCCCUCGAUGUCCAUGAGAUGUGGACUGAGCGGCCGACCCUGCCCUACAGCGUCCCCAGGGCCUAACACGACCCUCGGCACAUAGCAGGUGCUGGAUAAUAUUCGUCAGAUGAAGGAACAAAUGACAUUUUGGUUGCUCAUCCACUUCAG
This 1825-nucleotide long non-coding RNA is filed under the name Marmota monax (woodchuck). The record is from RNAcentral. Lineage: Eukaryota; Metazoa; Chordata; Mammalia; Rodentia; Sciuridae.